Molecule: microRNA precursor, 52 nt
Filed under: Caenorhabditis elegans
Lineage: Eukaryota; Metazoa; Nematoda; Chromadorea; Rhabditida; Rhabditidae
Description: microRNA cel-mir-4926 precursor
Source: miRBase by way of RNAcentral
GUAGGAGUGAAUUUUGAUUUUUUAUAUGUAAAUUUAAAAUUUAUUCUUACAG